RNAcentral lists this long non-coding RNA (908 nucleotides) under Lepisosteus oculatus (spotted gar). RNAcentral describes it as "lncRNA (ENSLOCG00000023244.1)". The record is from RNAcentral. Lineage: Eukaryota; Metazoa; Chordata; Actinopteri; Semionotiformes; Lepisosteidae.
AUAAGAGAUCUUGUUAAAGAAGAAGAGCCAAGCUGCUUAUGCCAAAGAUAAGUUAUUUGCACAAAUAGUGCUGGGUUGAAUCUCAAUGUGAAGAAAAAGCCUUUGGUACACAGAAAUGAGAAUGGUACCUUCUAGAAAAACGCGUCGUGGAAGAGAUUAGGUGCAUAUUGCACCAAUUCACUUUUUAGAGUUCCAAGAAGUGAUUCGGAAUAAAUGGUUCUCAUUUGUCAAAUGUAUGAGGCUCUGCACCCAUACCCUGUAGUAACAAGGUUAAACUGUGGAAUGAGCAGGUUUGUAGUAGUGUAUUUACUAUAUAUUCAAAGAAAUUGGGUACUGAUGACUUACCUUAAUAAAGAAGUGGCACAUCUUAAUCUUUCAUGCAUGUAAUGUUACUGAAGUUUCUGAUCUUAAUGUCUUAAGUAGAAUAUUGCUCAGAUACUAUUACCAAGUCUAAAAUGGCAUUUGUUUUCUUCUUGCAGCAUAAUAAAAAGACUGAAGCAGAAGAGGAGUCUCCUUACACGGAGAUGUCACCUAAAAACAAGUUGAUUGUUUUCAGCCCAAAAAAUGCUGUGGCAAAGCCAUCAUAUUGCACACAACCAGGCAGUCCUGAAUCCACAGUCAAGUUUGAAAGCAAGAAAAACGGAUACCCUUAUGGACUUUGGAUGUUAUGUGAAAUGAAGACUGGACAAGAUUUCAUACAGGUGGGAAUUUUAAUCUAAACUUGUUACAGUGAGUGUUUUGCAUUUGUAUUUUUUUUCAUCCUCUUGGUCCUUGAAUAAAAAUAAAUUUGAAACUGGGUGUUUUGAGUGGUUUUGUCAAAACUGUGAAGUUCCUUCAGACACGGUUCAUACAAAGACCAACUUUUCAGACAAAAAUGAAAUUCAACAGCCAUGAAAUGGAUGCAGGUA